This 497-nucleotide ribosomal RNA is filed under the name uncultured bacterium. RNAcentral describes it as "partial 16S ribosomal RNA". It matches the Rfam family "Bacterial small subunit ribosomal RNA", at positions 28 to 507 of the family's 1533-position model. The record is from RNAcentral.
GAUGAACGCUGGCGGCGUGCCUAAUACAUGCAAGUCGAGCGAACAGAUGAGGAGCUUGCUCCUCUGACGUUAGCGGCGGACGGGUGAGUAACACGUGGAUAACCUACCUAUAAGACUGGGAUAACUUCGGGAAACCGGAGCUAAUACCGGAUAAUAUAUUGAACCGCAUGGUUCAAUAGUGAAAGACGGUUUUGCUGUCACUUAUAGAUGGAUCCGCGCCGCAUUAGCUAGUUGGUAAGGUAACGGCUUACCAAGGCGACGAUGCGUAGCCGACCUGAGAGGGUGAUCGGCCACACUGGAACUGAGACACGGUCCAGACUCCUACGGGAGGCAGCAGUAGGGAAUCUUCCGCAAUGGGCGAAAGCCUGACGGAGCAACGCCGCGUGAGUGAUGAAGGUCUUCGGAUCGUAAAACUCUGUUUUUAGGGAAGAACAAAUGUGUAAGUAACUAUGCACGUCUUGACGGUACCUAAUCAGAAAGCCACGGCUAACUACGUG